GCGGAUGGCUGGAUGGCUGCACGUUUACGUGAGGAAAGUCCGGACACCACAAGGCAACGGCGGCGGGUAACGCCCGCCUGGGGUAACCCAAGGGAAAGCGCCACAGAGAAAAGACAGCCCGCGUUUACGCAGGUCAAGGUGAAACGGUGGAGUAAGAGCCCACCGCGGUGGUGGUAACAUCACUGGCAAGGCAAGCCCCGCCGGGUGCAAAACCAAAUAGGGAUCGCGUGGCCGCGUGCGGUCGGGGUUGCUUUGGCCCCAGCAGAUCCGGGUUGGUUGCAAGAGCCUGUUGGCAACAGCAGGCCCAGAUGAAUGGUCAUCAACGGGCGCAAGCCCUGAACAAAAUCCGGCUUAUAGGCCAUCCGCAAAA
This 370-nucleotide RNase P RNA is filed under the name Paramylibacter kogurei. RNAcentral describes it as "Amylibacter kogurei Bacterial RNase P class A". It matches the Rfam family "Bacterial RNase P class A". Rfam says of the family: Ribonuclease P (RNase P) is a ubiquitous endoribonuclease, found in archaea, bacteria and eukarya as well as chloroplasts and mitochondria. The record is from Rfam by way of RNAcentral. Lineage: Bacteria; Pseudomonadati; Pseudomonadota; Alphaproteobacteria; Rhodobacterales; Paracoccaceae.